RNAcentral lists this transfer RNA (86 nucleotides) under Streptomyces sp. TLI_171. RNAcentral's name for it is "tRNA-Ser". It matches the Rfam family "tRNA". From Rfam's summary of the family: Transfer RNA (tRNA) molecules are approximately 80 nucleotides in length. Their secondary structure includes four short double-helical elements and three loops (D, anti-codon, and T loops). Lineage: Bacteria; Bacillati; Actinomycetota; Actinomycetes; Kitasatosporales; Streptomycetaceae. RNAcentral also lists the same sequence under 1 other name. The record is from RNAcentral.
GGAGGGUUGCCCGAGCGGCCUAAGGGAACAGUCUUGAAAACUGUCGUGGCCUAGCGCCACCGUGGGUUCAAAUCCCACACCCUCCG